Molecule: ribosomal RNA, 466 nt
Filed under: bacterium Ellin316
Lineage: Bacteria; Pseudomonadati; Bacteroidota; Sphingobacteriia; Sphingobacteriales; Sphingobacteriaceae
Description: bacterial SSU rRNA
Rfam family: Bacterial small subunit ribosomal RNA
Source: RNAcentral
GAUGAACGCUAGCGGCAGGCCUAAUACAUGCAAGUCGGACGGGAUUGGAGAGCUUGCUUUCCAUGAGAGUGGCGCACGGGUGCGUAACACGUAUGUAACCUACCUUCGUCAGGGGGAUAGCCUCUCGAAAGAGAGAUUAAGACCGCAUAACAUUACGACAUAGCAUUAUGAUGUAAUCAAAUAUUUAUAGGACGAAGAUGGGCAUGCGGAACAUUAGCUAGUUGGUGAGGUAACUGCUCACCAAGGCUACGAUGUUUAGGGGAUCUGAGAGGAUGACCCCCCACACUGGUACUGAGACACGGACCAGACUCCUACGGGAGGCAGCAGUAAGGAAUAUUGGUCAAUGGGCGGAAGCCUGAACCAGCCAUGCCGCGUGCAGGAAGACGGCCCUACGGGUUGUAAACUGCUUUUGCAGGGGAAUAAACCCCGGUACGUGUACCGGGCUGAAUGUACUCUGAGAAUAAGG